UUUUGAAAAGCAGCCGAACGCGUUUUUUGAAAUAUUUUGUGAGUGAACAAAAAGGAGCUGCUAAAAGUGCACCAAAUGAGCUCUCCGUUUCCAGCUCAAAGAUCCAGCCGGAAGAUGCGAAAUAUUGUUAAGGAGAAGUCAAGAAUGAUGUUUCCGAUUAUUGUUCCGGUAAAAAGGAAUCGAUUUCUUUUUCUAAUGAACAAGAUGAUGGUCAAGAAGGAUCGUAUGAAAGUGCUACAUUCAAAAGUGGAGUUCCUAGGAUCAAAAAGCAAAUCCAACUUACCGUAACAUUUGGCCGGAAGCUCGCACAAAAGCGAUAAUAUACAAGACGAAUGGUGGUUCAUCGUAUCGCUGACGCAUCGCGUAUCGUAUUCAUCUAACCAGUCAAAUUCCGGGUUUGACCGCUUCUGCUGGCGUUUUUUUGCUGAUAGAAGCAGCCGAACAUCUGCCUUUUUGGGCAAAUCCGGAAACGUUCAAGGGGCGAAUUUUCAUCUACCUUGACAGCUGGUGCUAGUGGAAAACGGCGGGGAGGCAGAUAAUCAAUCAAUUUGGCUGCAAGCUACCAGCAGGGCUAGGAAACGGUUCAGGCAAGGAAAAGUGAACAGCAAUUACCUUUUGCUUUGAAACUAGCGCUUCUCAAGCUAAGUCUUCCCAAUCACGAAGUCGACGCACAAAGUUAUACGGAAUAACUUGAAAUUAUCAAUCGUUAAAACGUUAA
This is a long non-coding RNA of Uranotaenia lowii, 718 nucleotides long. RefSeq lists it as uncharacterized. NCBI's taxonomy places the organism in Eukaryota, Metazoa, Arthropoda, Insecta, Diptera, Culicidae. The record is from RefSeq and is a predicted model, not a curated record. The transcript has 3 exons.